RNAcentral lists this ribosomal RNA (253 nucleotides) under uncultured bacterium. RNAcentral describes it as "partial 16S ribosomal RNA". It matches the Rfam family "Bacterial small subunit ribosomal RNA", at positions 524 to 776 of the family's 1533-position model. The record is from RNAcentral.
UACGUAGGGUGCAAGCGUUGUCCGGAAUUAUUGGGCGUAAGGGGCUCGUAGGCGGUCUGUCGCGUCAGGAGUGAAAACUCGGGGCUUAACCCCGAGCCUGCUUCUGAUACGGGCAGACUAGAGGUAUGCAGGGGAGAACGGAAUUCCUGGUGUAGCGGUGAAAUGCGCAGAUAUCAGGAGGAACACCGGUGGCGAAGGCGGUUCUCUAGUACGGUACUGACGCUGAGACGCGAAAGCGUGGGGAGCGAACAGG